This 254-nucleotide ribosomal RNA is filed under the name uncultured bacterium. Its description in RNAcentral is "partial 16S ribosomal RNA". It matches the Rfam family "Bacterial small subunit ribosomal RNA", at positions 524 to 776 of the family's 1533-position model. The record is from RNAcentral.
UACGAAGGGUGCAAACGUUGCUCGGAAUUAUUGGGCGUAAAGAGCUCGUAGGCGGUUUGUUGCGUCGGCCGUGAAAACCUGCAGCUUAACUGGGAGCUUGCGGUCGAUACGGGCAUCACUGGAGUUCGGCAGGGGAGACUGGAAUUCCUGGUGUAGCGGUGAAAUGCGCAGAUAUCAGGAGGAACACCGGUGGCGAAGGCGGGUCUCUGGGCCGAUACUGACGCUGAGGAGCGAAAGCGUGGGGAGCGAACAGG